CAGUCGCCGCGGUAAAACGUAGGGUGCGAGCGUUAAUCGGAAUUACUGGGCGUAAAGCGUGCGCAGGCGGUUCGUUAAGACAGAUGUGAAAUCCCCGGGCUUAACCUGGGAACUGCAUUUGUGACUGGCGAGCUAGAGUAUGGCAGAGGGGGGUAGAAUUCCACGUGUAGCAGUGAAAUGCGUAGAGAUGUGGAGGAAUACCGAUGGCGAAGGCAGCCCCCUGGGCCAAUACUGACGCUCAUGCACGAAAGCGUGGGGAGCAAACAGGAUUAGAUACCCCCGUAGUCCUGUCUCUUAUACA
Molecule: ribosomal RNA, 301 nt
Filed under: uncultured bacterium
Lineage: Bacteria
Description: partial 16S ribosomal RNA
Rfam family: Bacterial small subunit ribosomal RNA
Source: RNAcentral